CUCGGGGCCCGGCCGGCUCCGGGCGCCCUCCCUGAGCCCCACCGGCUCCCACCGGCUCCCCUUCCUGCGGACGCCCCUCAGAAAGCCGCAUUCUACGGACUCCUGUCAUCGCGCCCAUGCCGGUGGGCUCAGCUCGGGGUCCCACACUGGGUGGUGACGGGACUUACGGAGAGAGACAAGGAUUUAUGAGGAAACCGGGGACGUGAGCCUGGAGGAAAACCACGUUGGGCACAUCCUGAGAGGUCACAUGCACCUUCACCCAGGUUGCUGCACCACAAUGACCAUGGGAAAAACUGAAAGCCAGUUUGGUUUUUCCCUCCAUCCUUCCCAUCUUGGUGGCCUUUCUCCUGAAUUCCUCAGUGUGUUCAAGUGCAUGUCUUCAUCUCCUUGCUGGACUGCAAGGCCCUGGAGGGGAAGGACCAUGUUUUACAGCUGUGUAGAUGCCCAGCUCUGGCACACAGCAGAUCCAACGCAAGUGCCACACUGAACUAAGACCCAUCAACGCCAGGUACCUGUGGCUUGUUUCAGAAGCCAUCUUCAAAGAAUCAGGAGUAAUAUCCAUAAAGACAUUUUUAAGUUUUUCACCUCAUGCUCAAAAUCAACUUAACUGUAAUAAUCAACAUUCUAUUGGAAGAAACUGUAUGUCAAACUUACCGUCUUAGUUAAAUAAAACAUGAACGAGUA
Non-coding RNA from Miniopterus natalensis, 684 nucleotides. NCBI's taxonomy places the organism in Eukaryota, Metazoa, Chordata, Mammalia, Chiroptera, Miniopteridae. The record is from RefSeq and is a predicted model, not a curated record.